This 338-nucleotide ribosomal RNA is filed under the name uncultured eukaryote. RNAcentral's name for it is "partial 18S ribosomal RNA". It matches the Rfam family "Eukaryotic small subunit ribosomal RNA", at positions 1470 to 1796 of the family's 1831-position model. The record is from RNAcentral.
CCCUUAGAUGUUCUGGGCCGCACGCGCGCUACACUGAAAGAAUCAACGUGUUUGAGGGCACCUGACCUGAGAGGGUUGGGCAAUCCGUUGAACCUCUUUCGUGCUAGGGAUUGGGGCUUGUAAUUCUUCCCCAUGAACGAGGAAUUCCCAGUAAGCGCGAGUCAUCAGCUCGUGUUGAUUACGUCCCUGCCCUUUGUACACACCGCCCGUCGCUACUACCGAUUGGAUGGCUUAGUGAGACCUUUGGACUGGACCGCCUUCCGGGGGUUUCGGCCCCUUUUGGCGAGGCUGGGAAGAAGGUCGAACUGGACUGUCUAGAGGAAGUAAAAGUCGUAACA